UAGGGAAUCUUCGGCAAUGGACGAAAGUCUGACCGAGCAACGCCGCGUGAGUGAAGAAGGUUUUCGGAUCGUAAAACUCUGUUGUUAGAGAAGAACAAGGACGUUAGUAACUGAACGUCCCCUGACGGUAUCUAACCAGAAAGCCACGGCUAACUACGUGCCAGCAGCCGCGGUAAUACGUAGGUGGCAAGCGUUGUCCGGAUUUAUUGGGCGUAAAGCGAGCGCAGGCGGUUUCUAAGUCUGAUGUGAAAGCCCCCGGCUCAACCGGGGAGGGUCAUUGGAAACUGGGAGACUUGAGUGCAGAAGAGGAGAGUGGAAUUCCAUGUGUAGCGGUGAAAUGCGUAGAUAUAUGGAGGAACACCAGUGGCGAAGGCGGCUCUCUGGUCUGUAACUGACGCUGAGGCUCGAAAGCGUGGGGAGCAAACAGG
RNAcentral lists this ribosomal RNA (428 nucleotides) under Gemmatimonadota bacterium. RNAcentral describes it as "Gemmatimonadetes bacterium partial 16S ribosomal RNA". It matches the Rfam family "Bacterial small subunit ribosomal RNA", at positions 355 to 776 of the family's 1533-position model. The record is from RNAcentral. Lineage: Bacteria; Pseudomonadati; Gemmatimonadota.